AACACCUGGAAACAGAUGCUAAUACCGGAUAACAACAGAUGAUGCCUAUCAACUGUUUAAAAGAUGGUUCUGCUAUCACUCUUGGAUGGACCUGCGGUGCAUUAGCUAGUUGGUAGGGUAACGGCCUACCAAGGCGAUGAUGCAUAGCCGAGUUGAGAGACUGAUCGGCCACAUUGGACUGAGACACGGCCCAAACUCCUACGGGAGGCAGCAGC
RNAcentral lists this ribosomal RNA (215 nucleotides) under uncultured Lactobacillus sp. RNAcentral describes it as "partial 16S ribosomal RNA". It matches the Rfam family "Bacterial small subunit ribosomal RNA", at positions 145 to 355 of the family's 1533-position model. The record is from RNAcentral. Lineage: Bacteria; Bacillati; Bacillota; Bacilli; Lactobacillales; Lactobacillaceae.